RNAcentral lists this non-coding RNA (21 nucleotides) under Caenorhabditis elegans. The record is from RNAcentral. Lineage: Eukaryota; Metazoa; Nematoda; Chromadorea; Rhabditida; Rhabditidae.
UAGUUCUUUACCAUUAGCAAA